CUCUUCCAUCCCUAGCCCCUCUGAACUCUCCUCCAUACGCAGCCUGGGUUUACCUCCCAGAGUCACACUGGUCCUGCUCUCCCACUCGUUUAGUAAAAACAAAACUCUAGAUUCCUGGUGUUUCCCUACCAUUGCGUUGGCUGGCAGGAUGCGGAAGGUGAAAGCCGGGCUAUUGCUGCUGAAGGCAGAGGCUGAGGUGUGUUCACGGCUGGAACUCAGAACUCAUUUCUCCAUAGAAACGAUGGUGUACUGUUAGAUAGGUUCUAGAGUGCAUUUAGAACUCCAGAUGAGGUAUGUGAGCCAAACGGACUUUUAUGAGUUCUCCUGGACACAUACCUACUCCUUUUAAGGUUGUUUCCUCAGAAAUGUGGCUUUGAGUUCCAAACAGUUGACCAUAAAUUGUCUUUGUGGAGAGGGAGCCCUGGGGGCUUAUGACUCAAUUGUUUGCUGUGAAUUCAGACAGGUGUGAGCCCCUUUGAGGGACCAGCCCACUCCACCUCUACUCCGGGACCAAGACUUCUGAGCUGUUGGGGAAACCAGGAACCCCCUUAGAGGCCUUGGUACAUGCAGCUGCCUUUGCCAGGAAAGCCCUUCUUCCCGUCUGUGCUCUCUUCCUGUAUUAAUCUUCAGAUUCUUAAACAACACUUUCUCAAGGAGGAGAGAGAUGUUUUAGAGGAUGGCCAAAAGCCAUCAGCAUGGCACAGAGAAGAUCUAAGAUCCAAAUAAGCCCCAAACCAGACAAGUGGCCUGUGAAUCACAGACGACUGAUUGGCUGUGGACGGUAGAGUUCUUUUGCUGCCCUCUGGGAGAUGGACACAAAGCAGCUCUUCCAUCUUCUUUCUUGUUUUGGAGGACAUAGCAUGGGAACCUGGUAACUGAAGCGGUUGUGGCCAUUUUGUAAUCCUGAGGGAGAAAUCCAACAGAAUCACAAAGAAGCUGACUAAGAGCCGACCAACUCAACCAGCUUUGGAACGUCCCACAUCUGGAUUUAUUGUUACAUAAAAUAUAAAGGUAUUGAGUAAUAAUAAAUCUCUAAAUAAUAAACCUAAAAAUGCACAAUUA
This 1062-nucleotide long non-coding RNA is filed under the name Equus asinus (donkey). Its description in RNAcentral is "lncRNA (ENSEASG00005031944.1)". The record is from RNAcentral. Lineage: Eukaryota; Metazoa; Chordata; Mammalia; Perissodactyla; Equidae.